This 1513-nucleotide long non-coding RNA is filed under the name Monodelphis domestica (gray short-tailed opossum). RNAcentral describes it as "lncRNA (ENSMODG00000045048.1)". The record is from RNAcentral. Lineage: Eukaryota; Metazoa; Chordata; Mammalia; Didelphimorphia; Didelphidae.
UGUGGGACUAAGGGUUAAGCUCUUCCCUAUCAGAGCUGUCGGUCUCCUUCCGGUCUUUGUGUCUUUCUCCUUCCCUUAGACUUUAACUGGCACCCAUUUGUCUCUCAGUCUCUGCUCCCCCUUUCUGAGUAUUCUACUGAGCAGUGGGUGGACAGCUUCAAAGGGCCAAGGGUCAGGUGACUUGCCCAGCUAGGAAGUGUCUGAGCUUGGAAUCUGACCUUCUGCCUCUAGGCUUGGCACUAUCCUCAGAGCCAGCUGGAUGUUCCACAUAACUUUGUUUUUCUUAGCUACUCUUGGCCACGUUGUUCUUUUCCUCCUCGGAAGCUCUGCUUAGUCAUAGUUUGACUCUUGUAGCUUUACCUCUCAGACUUUACUUUAACCCAGAUUGCCUUGGUUUUUAGUUGUGUUGGUUGGUUUCUUUCUGGUUAACUCAUUUUUGCCCUCAAUUUGCCCUCUUAGAUGAGAUGGAUCUCAUUAGCUCUGUGGUCUGGAUCUCCCUGCCAUUGCUGAUUUGGGGGAAGCCCAGCCCUGACUGCCUGUCUCCUGGUGGUCCACUGCUGGGUCUGGCUUUGGUGCGCUCGCUAAGGCUCUCGCUAUCACUCUUGCUGUUUCUUGGAGACAUGGGGCUUUUGUGCGAUGGGAACUUGUGGCGGAGUGCUUAGCAUCUUGGCGGUUUGGCGUUUGCAGCUUGCCAGUAAGGUGAUUGGAAGAAGCUCUGUAGCAUGAGUUAGGUGAGGUAUCUUCCCUGAGCGUCCUUGGUGAGGUGACUGAUUCCUCCUUUCUUCCUUUCCUUGACCUCCAACUCCUAUCUGGCUUGCCAGAGCAGUAUAAUUUCCCUUUCCUCUCUCCUCUUCUUAAUUUCUUCCUUCUAUUGUUAUUAAAACCACCAUAAAAAUCCCAAACUGACUUGAGUAAUUUAUUGGGAUUGAAUUAAUCCCUGGCAACCACUAGUAUAAUAUAUUCAGUCAAUAAUCCCUAAAAUUUACCCCUUACAUGGUUUAAAAGAGAAAUGAGAAUUAUGAGAGCAGAAUUUAUGUCCUGUGAAGCAAAAAUAAUGGGUAAAACACAAAAAGUGUAAUGUACAAUGGCAGACCUCACUGAAGAAACAAAAGAGAGAAUAACAGACUGGGAAAACAGAUACAUAGAAGCAAAGGGAGGUAUAGAAGAAGAAAAGCAAAAAGCAAAAUUAAAAGAAAAUAUGGGGGCCAUGAGGUAGCUCAGUGGACAGAGAGUUAGGACUGGAGACAGGAUGUCCUAGGUUCAAAUCUGGCCUCAGACCCUUUCUAGCUAUGUGAUAUUGGGCAAGUCACGUAACCUCAUUUGCCUAGCCUUUAUUCUUCUGUCUUAGAACUAAUUCUUAGUAUCAAUUCUAAGACAGAAGGUAAGUGUUUAUUUUUUAAAAUGUUCACUAUGCAAGCAAAACAUAUUGAACUCAAAGAAAGGCUUUGCAGAGAAAACUUAAAGAUCAAAGAUAUGAGGACAAAAAAAAAAACACCACCAAAUUGAAAAAAAU